Molecule: long non-coding RNA, 1172 nt
Filed under: Nicotiana tabacum (common tobacco)
Lineage: Eukaryota; Viridiplantae; Streptophyta; Magnoliopsida; Solanales; Solanaceae
Description: long non-coding RNA (NTAB_LNC012873)
Source: RNAcentral
CCCAUUCAAGACCUAGACCUAAGUGAUAGAGAUAGACCCUCCCCACUCUGAAAAGAACAAAAAUGACACUCUCAUCUGGAAGAAGCUCUCAUCUUCAACAGUGCAACCAUGACCCCUCCCCUUUAAUCCUCUAAAAGGAAACGCAGCAGCGGCGCAAGAGAGGGCCAAAAAAUGGGAAAAUCAAUCUCUUCUUCUUCUCCGUCUUCUUCACUCUCUCUAAUGGUCGUCACGGCCGACUCAUGUCAGUGACCAUCGACGACCACACUGCACCCCUGCUCUUCCUCUCUCAUUCUCACCAGCGAGUUAAGGCCAGAAUCCGGCCAGCCACCGAACCCCCAUGAUUUCCUCCUCCGGACAGACUCCUUUUCUUGAAGAAUAUAUAUAAAAAAUAAUAACAAAAAGAGAAGAUUGGAAAAGCUGGUCUGAUUUCUACUGCUUUGGUUAAAAAAUUUCUGGUGGAUUGAGUCAAUUUCGGACCUAAAUCGAAGUUGUGCUGUUGUUUGCGCAUCUCUGGGCUCUUCUCGUCUUCGCGCGCUUGAUUUGGCUUGUAAAUAUUUCGUUUGGUUGGCUUCAAAUUAGCUGAGUUUGAUCGUCUGGAUUUCAGACCUUUAUUUGGUCUCAGUUUCCAUUGAUUUCCUGUUUUAGGUAAGUUACACUAGUCUGUAAUCACUUAUUGAAUUUAUGACUGGAACAUGAGUUUGUUUAUGCUAAAUUACUGUUUCUACUUAUGUUUUUGAAAUGGUAUGUUCAAUUUGAAAUCAUUUGUCAUCUUAGUUGAGCUUUGCUUUUAGUGCUGACUGUUAGAGAUAUUGAUUCAAUUUGUGGUUUGAAGUUAGAAUCGAUUAGUCCAUGGAUUUGACCACUAGUUGGUCAAAUUCAACAAUUGAAGGUGUCUCAAGCCCAAAUCAAGCCAUUAUGAGACAUCGUGAGCUAAUGUUUGUCAAGUUGAAAGGCGUUGCGGAUGAAAUUGAAGGUUACAACUAUUAUAGCAAUUCAUCAAGUGUAGUAAACUUAAUCAGUCAGGAUUAUGUAGUUUGCUUUCUUAUUAUAGUUGUAAUCUAAUAAAAAAAGCCAUGUAGUUGUAAUUUGAAGUUUCCCUUAUAUGUGUAGUUCAUCUUUAAUUCCUGAAUAUUUGUUUGAUAAAAUGAUUCAAAUUAGUAUGAAUGUUUAAG